AUGCGGAGGUCCAAAAAGCGUCAACACGAGUCGACAACCGGUCCAUACCAGAGGUCGGUCGAUGCCCGGCAGCUAUCCCCGGGCAUGGACGACUACGGGAUGGAUGAUCGCCACAUGGAUGGUCUGGAGGGCGAUGACGGUGAUCAGCCAUCUCCUGGCGAGGCCAACUUCUCCGUCGACGUCGACGCCACGACGUUGCCCACACCAAAUUCCGAUAACCAGCCAUCUGCCAGAAGAGCGGAGUGUUGGCGACACUUCGAAUUAUUCACCGAGAUGGUUGACGGAGGUAACACAGUGGUCAAAGCGAGGUUCCAAGACUACUGUAAAGCGAAGAAUAAACCUGGACGGAUGUUUGGCAUUGUGAAGAAUAAACCUGGACGGAUGUUUGGCAUUGAUUUGGAAAUUGCCAAGGUUGCCAUGAACUCAAUAGGUGAUGCAGUGGGGCUUGAUUAUUCUGAAGCUUUUCAACAUGUCAAUAAUGAGCUCUAUAGGGUUUUCCGUCUGUACCGAACCAAGCUUGGUGGUACUCCCCGAGUUCCUGAGCAGACCUCACAAAAGAAAGCAAGCAAGUCA
Molecule: long non-coding RNA, 573 nt
Filed under: Oryza sativa tropical japonica subgroup
Lineage: Eukaryota; Viridiplantae; Streptophyta; Magnoliopsida; Poales; Poaceae
Description: lncRNA OsKeNa_10g0011570
Source: RNAcentral